CAUGAAGCCACUCCUCUUUUCUACAUCACGUUUGCUUCCUACUUAAUGUGACUCGGUUUAAAGAGAAAACACAAACAGAAGAGGCGCUGUCAUAACUUACUACCAAGUUUGAUCCAUGACUUCAGAAUAACGGUCUCUACAUGAUGAUUAGAUUUCUCUUUUGCUAUCUCCUCACAGCAGGUUUUUCUCUGGGGGUUCAGGUCCAUCAGUCUCCCUCUGCUGCGAUCAGAAAGGCCGGUGAUGAUGUGCAGCUCGUCUGCACUCACGGACAAACUGACUACACAGUGAUGCUGUGGUACCAGCAGUCACCUGGAGACAAGGCUCUGAAACUCAUCGGAUAUGUAGAAUAUAGUAGCAUAAGCUAUGAAGAAUCGUAUAAAGGGCAUUUCAAUAUCACUGGAGAUCUAAGUGGAAACACAGCAAAGAACGUCUCUCUGUUCAUAGUGGACCUAAAAGAGUCGGAGUACAGUGCAACAUACUACUGUGCAGCUCGAUAUACACGUUGAGGAGGAUCUCCUUUCAACUAGACAAAAACUUAACACCACACUUUAUCAACUGUGGUUUUGUCGUCAACAUCCAGCUGCAGUCAAGGUCUCUGUCAUGUGAUUUCUACCUCACUUCCUCGCAUCUCCGCUCGGGUUUUCACAUAUUAAGUGCAGUCAUAUAGCCAGAGUAGACGUCUGAUGAUCUUCCCCAUCAGAGAACUAAAUCUGCAUGGGACAAACAACUAAAAUGAUCUGUUUUCUACUUUGUUGUCAUCUCAUAGGUUUUUCUCUGGGGGUUCAGAUCCAUCAGUCUCCCUCCGCUGCAAUCAGAAAGGCCGGUGAUGAUGUGAAGUUUUUCUGCACACACGGACAAAGUGCCUACAGAGUGAUGCUGUGGUACCAGCAGUCACCUGGAGACACGGCUCUGAAACUCGUCGGAUAUGGAUACGUACAGUUCACAAACGACAGCGUGGAAAAGCCAUUUAGAGAACAUUUCAAAUUAGCCGGAGAUUUGAAAAGCGAUGCAAAAAAUGGUUCCCUUUCCAUAAAUAAUCUUAAUGCACACAAACACACGGCAACCUACUUUUGUGCAGCAAGAGAAGCACAGUACAUCAAACAUCCAUCUGCUCUUGACAAAAACCUUGUCACGCCUCCACUCUGAAUGUAGGUUA
Molecule: long non-coding RNA, 1156 nt
Organism: Sander lucioperca (pikeperch)
Lineage: Eukaryota; Metazoa; Chordata; Actinopteri; Perciformes; Percidae
Exons: 3
Source: RefSeq, a predicted model, not a curated record